Molecule: long non-coding RNA, 984 nt
Filed under: Prunus dulcis (almond)
Lineage: Eukaryota; Viridiplantae; Streptophyta; Magnoliopsida; Rosales; Rosaceae
Description: sRNA ncRNA
Source: RNAcentral
AUGAGGAGAAUUAAACGACGACACCGCCACCGACCAACCAACAAUAACAGACCUCCAAAACAAGAAGACGACGAUGAAGAAGAAGAAGAGCAUGAUCAGAAACCCUACAUUCUUCAAUUGCCAGUCCACAUAAUAACAGAGAUCUUCUGCAAAAUCCCAACAAAAACUCUCAUCCAAUGCAAGCGCGUGUCCAAAUCUUGGCGUUGUUGGUUCUCAGACCCUCAAUUCACCAGAGAACUAUUUUCACGAACACCCGCUUCCCUCUGGGUCACUGGCCACUUCUUGGUCGACCUCGACAGGAUCGGGAGCCAAAGCAACGUCGCGUUGCAGCUUUUUAGUAAUCUCAGAGCUCUUUGUAUGACCGUUGUAGGCUCGUGCAAUGGCUUCCUCUGUCACUACGAUUUCAAUUCUGACUUUACGCGUCAUCUUCACAUCUCCAAUCCUGUUACCUGUGAGUUUUUCUCUCUCCCAAUACCUUCAAAUCGUGAUAGUGGAGACUGUUAUGGUUUUGGGUUCAGCCCCAUUAGUGAUGUUUAUAAGCUAGUUCGGGUUUCGUCUCUAGGCGGAGAGCCUGACCAAGUAAUGGUUUUGACUGUUGGCUUUGGAAUUUGGAGAAACAUUGGGCACCCUGGCUACUCAUUUUAUAGGGUAAAUCCUCGUCAUGGGAUUUAUCUCAAUGGGGUUCUUCAUUGGAUUGGUCGCAGUUGUAGGGACAGGUCCCGGCGUUUGAUAUGUGUCUUUGAUGUUGAAAGUGAGCGGUUCCAAGAGUUACCACUACCGCUUUCUUCUCAAAAUCUGCGAAGAACAUAUUUUAAGCUCGGAAUAUUAAAAGGUUGGCUCUCUGUAAUUCAUAAAGUAAAUGAUGUUAUCAGUGUUUGGGUGAUGAAGGAUUACGGGGUGAAGGAGUCUUGGACUAAAGAGAAUGAGUUUAAAAAACCAGUUGGUUCUUUUGUCACUUCAACAAUGAAAUUUACUGAGCAAGGG